Molecule: long non-coding RNA, 842 nt
Organism: Brassica oleracea var. oleracea
Lineage: Eukaryota; Viridiplantae; Streptophyta; Magnoliopsida; Brassicales; Brassicaceae
Exons: 3
Source: RefSeq, a predicted model, not a curated record
ACAACCUUCUUAACUGCAUAGCUCACAUUGAUAACGUUGUGCGGUACUCUAGCUGGUUGAUGUAUCCAAAAUAUGGGAACGUGAAUGCAAAAGGAUAUGGUGUACUUAUUAUAUCUCCAACAUGAAGAGUAAGAACCAUACUAAUCCUAACAUUAUACGUCAUAUUGCAUUAUAGAUGCGGUGUUGUGUACCUUAAUAAUUUCUUAUUAAAUAGCGGUGGGAGAGCCCGUAUUUAUCUGUAGUACAAAAUUGCCGCCAGUGCUCUUCCGUGAUAUUUUUCAUCUAAAGCAUAGAGUAGUGUAUAAAUAUGAGUUUGUUCGAAAAGCUUAUGUUGUUAUCUCAGAUUCGAUUGUUGCAAGGCAUGUCCUCGGAGAAAACACUUUCAGUGACAAGGGAGUUCUUGCUGAGAUCCUCCAGCAGAUUAUGGGAAAAGGGUUGAUACCAGUAGACCUAGAUGUCUGGAAGUUAAGAAGAAGAGCUAAAUCUCAUGGGUCCCUGCAUUAUCUAGAGGCUAUGAUCAAAAUAUUUAGUGCCUGUUCAGAGAAAAUAAUACUCAAGUCUGAGAAACUCUUACGAGAAUAAGAAGUCUCAAGCGGAGGGGACACAAUCAAGUUGGAUCUUGAUGCAGAAUUCUAGAGUCUCUUCACAUUAUAGGGCUUACGCCGCUUACCGUAUUCAACUACGACUUUUGUUCUGUCACAAGGAGUCCCAUGUCAUUAAUUUUUUUUUAUUUUUGAGUAUACUCUUCACCAAUUUUAUAUACUAAGCUGAUUAAUUCUUCAAUUUCUCUGUUACAUCAGAUGCGGUUUAUGAAAUUCUUUUUUAGGGCAGAGCAUCCGUCU